UCUCCGUAGGUGAACCUGCGGAGGGAUCAUUACAGAGUUCAUGCCCUACCGGGUAGAUCUCCCACCCUAUGUUAUUAUUACUUUGUUGCUUGGGCGGGCCGUUAGGCUCCGGCCCGACUACCGGCCCCGGCUGGUAAGCGCCCGCCAGAGGACCCAAAACCCUGAAUAUUAGUGUCGUCUGAGUACUAUAUAAUAGUUAAAACUUUCAACAACGGAUCUCUUGGUUCUG
RNAcentral lists this unclassified non-coding RNA (229 nucleotides) under plant metagenome. RNAcentral's name for it is "partial contains small subunit ribosomal RNA, internal transcribed spacer 1, and 5.8S ribosomal RNA". The record is from RNAcentral.